This 151-nucleotide small nuclear RNA is filed under the name Tupaia belangeri chinensis (Chinese tree shrew). RNAcentral describes it as "Tupaia chinensis (Chinese tree shrew) U4 spliceosomal RNA". It matches the Rfam family "U4 spliceosomal RNA". From Rfam's summary of the family: U4 small nuclear RNA (U4 snRNA) is a component of the major U2-dependent spliceosome. The structure of U4 snRNA from yeast and human has been reported. Lineage: Eukaryota; Metazoa; Chordata; Mammalia; Scandentia; Tupaiidae. The record is from Rfam by way of RNAcentral.
AGCUUUGCGCAGUGGCAGUAUCGCAGCCAGUGAGGUUUACCCGAGGCGCGAUUAUUGCUAAUUGAAAGCUGACUACGGUGAUAGCUGCACAUCUGUGAAUUGUACACUUUAAGUGGGUGAGUUGUAUGAUAUGUGAAUCGUAUCUCAAUAA